UACACGAGCGGCGAACGGGUGAGUAACACGUGAGCAACCUGCCCCUGACUCCGGGAUAAGCGGUGGAAACGCCGUCUAAUACCGGAUACGACCCUCCGCCUCAUGGUGGUGGGUGGAAAGUUUUUCGGUCGGGGAUGGGCUCGCGGCCUAUCAGCUUGUUGGUGGGGUAACGGCCUACCAAGGCGAUUACGGGUAGCCGGCCUGAGAGGGCGACCGGCCACACUGGGACUGAGACACGGCCCAGACUCCUGCGGGAGGCAGCAGUGGGGAAUAUUGCGCAAUGGGCGAAAGCCUGACGCAGCGACGCCGCGUGGGGGAUGACGGCCUUCGGGUUGUAAACCUCUUUUACCACUCACGCAGGCUCCACGUUUUCGUGGGGUUGACGGUAGGUGGGGAAUAAGGACCGGCUAACUACGUGCCAGCAGCCGCGGUAAUACGUAGGGUCCGAGCGUUGUCCGGAAUUAUUGGGCGUAAAGAGCUCGUAGGCGGCGUGUCGCGUCUGCUGUGAAAGACCGGGGCUUAACCCCGGUUCUGCAGUGGAUACGGGCAUGCUAGAGGUAGGUAGGGGAGACUGGAAUUCCUGGUGUAGCGGUGAAAUGCGCAGAUAUCAGGAGGAACACCGGUGGCGAAGGCGGGUCUCUGGGCCUUACCUGACGCUGAGGAGCGAAAGCAUGGGGAGCGAACAGGAUUAGAUACCCUGGUAGUCCAUGCCGUAAACGUUGGG
Molecule: ribosomal RNA, 724 nt
Filed under: Actinomycetes bacterium
Lineage: Bacteria; Bacillati; Actinomycetota; Actinomycetes
Description: bacterial SSU rRNA
Rfam family: Bacterial small subunit ribosomal RNA
Source: RNAcentral